GUGGGGAAUAUUGCACAAUGGGCGAAAGCCUGAUGCAGCAACGCCGCGUGAAGGACGAAGUAUUUCGGUAUGUAAACUUCUAUCAGCAGGGAAGAUAAUGACGGUACCUGACUAAGAAGCCCCGGCUAACUACGUGCCAGCAGCCGCGGUAAUACGUAGGGGGCAAGCGUUAUCCGGAUUUACUGGGUGUAAAGGGAGCGUAGGCGGCUUUGCAAGUCAGAAGUGAAAGCCCGGGGCUCAACUCCGGGACUGCUUUUGAAACUGCAGGGCUAGAUUUCAGGAGAGGUAAGCGGAAUUCCUAGUGUAGCGGUGAAAUGCGUAGAUAUUAGGAGGAACACCAGUGGCGAAGGCGGCUUACUGGACUGAUAAUGACGCUGAGGCUCGAAAGCGUGGGGAGCAAACAGGAUUAGAAACCCUAGUAGUCC
This 425-nucleotide ribosomal RNA is filed under the name uncultured bacterium. RNAcentral describes it as "bacterial SSU rRNA". It matches the Rfam family "Bacterial small subunit ribosomal RNA", at positions 354 to 796 of the family's 1533-position model. The record is from RNAcentral.